AACGAAGGCUUCGGCCUUAGUGGCGCACGGGUGAGUAACGCGUGGGAACCUGCCUCUUGGUUUGGAAUAACUGCGGGAAACUGCAGCUAAUACCGGAUACGUCGAUCCUCUGUGGUGGAGGGUUGGGAAAGAUUUAUCGCCGAGAGAGGGGCCCGCGUUCGAUUAGGCAGUUGGUGAGGUAACGGCUCACCAAGCCUACGAUCGAUAGCUGGUCUGAGAGGAUGAUCAGCCACACUGGGACUGAGACACGGCCCAGACUCCUACGGGAGGCAGCAGUGGGGAAUAUUGGACAAUGGGCGCAAGCCUGAUCCAGCAAUGCCGCGUGAGUGAUGAAGGCCUUAGGGUUGUAAAGCUCUUUCGGCGGGGACGAUGAUGACGGUACCCGCAGAAGAAGCCCCGGCUAACUUCGUGCCAGCAGCCGCGGUAAUACGAAGGGGGCUAGCGUUGUUCGGAAUUACUGGGCGUAAAGGGCGCGUAGGCGGCGAAGCAAGUUAGGCGUGAAAGCCCCGGGCUCAACCUGGGAAUUGCGCUUGAUACUGCUUUGCUUGAGUUCGGGAGAGGUGAGUGGAAUUCCCAGUGUAGAGGUGAAAUUCGUAGAUAUUGGGAAGAACAC
Molecule: ribosomal RNA, 613 nt
Filed under: uncultured bacterium
Lineage: Bacteria
Description: bacterial SSU rRNA
Rfam family: Bacterial small subunit ribosomal RNA
Source: RNAcentral